GGCGAGGGUUUGGAAUUUUUAGGUCCCCCAAGCUGGACCUCCAAAUCUUUUAAUCUUCUGAAUUACCUUCCUCUGGAGAUGGUGUCUCUAGUGGUUCUUCUUCAUGAACUUCCUUUACUGUAGAGUCUGUUGGUAUUUCUUAGCGAUGCAGCCAAUUAUCCGCAAGCGCACGGAAGUACCGUUGUAGCACUUCACCCGGUGGUAUUCAGGCUAUCGAGAUUUCACAG
This 227-nucleotide long non-coding RNA is filed under the name Sorghum bicolor (sorghum). RNAcentral describes it as "long non-coding RNA (SBIC_LNC010299)". The record is from RNAcentral. Lineage: Eukaryota; Viridiplantae; Streptophyta; Magnoliopsida; Poales; Poaceae.